GACGAACGCUGGCGGCGUGCCUAAUACAUGCAAGUCGAGCGGGCGAGGGGGGGAACUCUCUCGUCAGCGGCGGACGGGUGAGGAACACGUGAGUGACCUAGCCGGGGGCGGGGGAUAUCGGGCCGAAAGGCGCGGCAAUCCCGCAUACGCCCUGGUAGCGACGGCGCCAGGGGAAAGCGCGGCAGCGCACCCCCGGGGGGGCUCGCGGCCCAUUAGCUAGUUGGGGGGGUAACGGCCUCCCAAGGCGACGAUGGGUAGCCGGCCUGAGAGGGUGGACGGCCACACUGGGACUGAGACACGGCCCAGACUCCUACGGGAGGCAGCAGUAGGGAAUCUUCCACAAUGGGCGCAAGCCUGAUGGAGCAACGCCGCGUGAGCGAAGACGGCCUUCGGGUUGUAAAGCUCUGUCGGUCGGGACGAGGACCCGCGGGGGGCCGCGGGGGGGCCGGUACCGGCCGAGGAAGCCCCUGCAAACUACGUGCCAGCAGCCGCGGUAAGACGUAGGGGGCGAGCGUUGUCCGGAAUGACUGGGCGUAAAGGGCGUGUAGGCGGUUCGGUACGUAGCGAUUGAAAGCCGCCGGCUCAGCCGGCGGGAGGUUGCUAAACGGCCGGGCUCGAGGGCAGGAGAGGUGCGGGGAAUUCCUGGUGGAGCGGUGAAAUGCGUAGAGAUCAGGAAGAACACCGGUGGCGAAGGCGCCGCACUGGACUGGCCCUGACGCUGAGGCGCGACAGCGUGGGGAGCGAACGGGAUUAGAUACCCCGGUAGUCCACGCCGUAAACGAUGGGGACUAGGUGUUGCGCGGGUGCACCGCGCGGUGCCGGAGCUAACGCACUAAGUCCCCCGCCUGGGGAGUACGGCCGCAAGGUUGAAACUCAAAGGAAUUGACGGGGGCCCGCACAAGCAGUGGAGCAUGUGGUUUAAUUCGACGCAACGCGAAGAACCUUACCAGGCUAGACGGGACCGUGAGCGUCGCGAAAGCGGCGGGCGCUGGGGGGAACUCUGGCGAGCGGUCGGCAGGUGCUGCAUGGUUGUCGUCAGCUCGUGUC
This 1047-nucleotide ribosomal RNA is filed under the name uncultured bacterium. Its description in RNAcentral is "partial 16S ribosomal RNA". It matches the Rfam family "Bacterial small subunit ribosomal RNA", at positions 28 to 1066 of the family's 1533-position model. The record is from RNAcentral.